GGCCGGGCAAGACCGGUGCCAGGCGCCGUGGUAACACCGGCGGCCCGAGUGGUGAUCGUGAUUAUUGGGUCUAAAGGGUCCGUAGCCGGUUUGGUCAUUCCUCGGGGAUAUCUGACGGCUUAGCCGUUAUGCUUUCGGAGGAUACUGCCCUGCUUGCCACCGGGAGAGGUAAGAGGUACUACAGGGGUAGGAGUGAAAUCCUGUAAUC
RNAcentral lists this ribosomal RNA (208 nucleotides) under uncultured methanogenic archaeon. RNAcentral's name for it is "partial 16S ribosomal RNA". It matches the Rfam family "Archaeal small subunit ribosomal RNA", at positions 440 to 647 of the family's 1478-position model. Lineage: Archaea; Methanobacteriati; Methanobacteriota. The record is from RNAcentral.